Molecule: long non-coding RNA, 402 nt
Filed under: Rattus norvegicus (Norway rat)
Lineage: Eukaryota; Metazoa; Chordata; Mammalia; Rodentia; Muridae
Description: long non-coding RNA NONRATT007053
Source: RNAcentral
CCAACCCAGCCCAAUCCAGCCAACUCAGUCCAACUCAACCCAACCCAACCCAGCCCAACCAAACCCAACCAAACCCAACCCAGCCCAAUCCAACCAACCCAGCCCAACUCAACCAAACCUUAUCCAGCCCAACCCAAACCCCAGCCCAACCAAACCAAACCAAAUCCGACCAAAGUGAAGCAAAACAAAACUCUCACACUAUAGGAAAAAACAAAAACAAAACCAAACACCCACCAACAAUAAACCGCACCAACUUUAAAAUUUGGAGCCUUGUUGAAGCUGGAGUUUCACAUGAGGGAAAACAAUGCAAAUUUUACAAGAUCCAAAAGAGAUUGCUACAUGCAUUGCCCCUGUGACAGCCAUUAGCAGUUAUCACCAGCCUGCUUCGUCACCCUAUGGGUU